This 534-nucleotide long non-coding RNA is filed under the name Marmota monax (woodchuck). Lineage: Eukaryota; Metazoa; Chordata; Mammalia; Rodentia; Sciuridae. The record is from RNAcentral.
GGGGAAUGGAGGACAGGGUCACCCACACGUCACCGUCCCUGUGCCAUUCCCUAGUGGCAGGGCCUGGGCCUCCAAACCACCUCCUGGAGGGCUGCCCACACCCGGGGGACCUCGGCACGAGAGGACAUGGCGACCGAGCUCCUCGCCCCCCGGGGCUGUUUGUCACCGCGGCUGGCACUGCCCGCCCUGCCCGCCCUCCACCCCCGGCCUCAGAACCAGCCGGGCGCCGUGGAGAGGCCGGUUCCCGGCUCUGAACCAGAGACCCUGACGGGCCCCUGGAGACCGGGGCUCCUCCUGCUACGUCCACCCCGCCUUGGCAGGAGCCUGGACGGUGCGCAGGGACGGGCUGACUCAUCUGCAGCCGGUGGCCACUGGUGACCUGGGCCAGCAGGACAUUCACCAGGGCCCUUGCCCUCACCGUAGGAGCCCGCUGAAUGAGGAGCUGCCCCUCAGCAGGUGGGAGGACCUGGCCAUCUGGGCAGGACGCUGCUGAGUCACCCGGAUUAAAUCAGCCGUGAUUCCCGGGCUCCAGAG